GGUCCUAUAGUGUAAUCGGUUAUCACAGAGGACUUUGAAUUCUCUGAUCCGGGUUCAAAUCCCGGUAGGACCU
This 73-nucleotide transfer RNA is filed under the name Blastocystis sp. ATCC 50177/Nand II. Its description in RNAcentral is "Blastocystis sp. ATCC 50177 tRNA". It matches the Rfam family "tRNA". Rfam says of the family: Transfer RNA (tRNA) molecules are approximately 80 nucleotides in length. Their secondary structure includes four short double-helical elements and three loops (D, anti-codon, and T loops). Lineage: Eukaryota; Bigyra; Opalinata; Blastocystidae. The record is from Rfam by way of RNAcentral.